This 458-nucleotide ribosomal RNA is filed under the name uncultured Sphingobacteriales bacterium. RNAcentral describes it as "bacterial SSU rRNA". It matches the Rfam family "Bacterial small subunit ribosomal RNA", at positions 923 to 1382 of the family's 1533-position model. The record is from RNAcentral. Lineage: Bacteria; Pseudomonadati; Bacteroidota; Sphingobacteriia; Sphingobacteriales.
GCGACAAGCGGUGGAGCAUGUGGUUUAAUUCGAUGAUACGCGAGGAACCUUACCUGGGCUCAAAUGUAUGUUGACGUAUUCUGAAAGGGAUACUUCUUCGGACAAUAUACAAGGUGCUGCAUGGUUGUCGUCAGCUCGUGCCGUGAGGUGUCGGGUUAAGUCCCAUAACGAGCGCAACCCCUAUCAUUAGUUGCCAUCAGGUUAAGCUGGGGACUCUAAAGGAACUGCCUACGCAAGUAGUGAGGAAGGCGGGGAUGACGUCAAAUCAGCACGGCCCUUACGUCCAGGGCUACACACGUGCUACAAUGGCCGAUACAGAGGGCAGCUACCUGGUGACAGGAUGCAAAUCUCCAAAGUCGGUCUCAGUUCGGAUCGGAGUCUGCAACCCGACUCCGUGAAGUUGGAUUCGCUAGUAAUCGCGCAUCAGCCAUGGCGCGGUGAAUACGUUCCCGGGCCUU